GAUGAUGAACGUAGCGAAAUGCGAAAAGUAAUGUGAAUUGCAGAAUUCAGUGAAUCAUCGAAUCUUUGAACGCACAUUGCGCCCGCUGGUACUCCGGCGGGCACGCCUGUCCGAGCGUCAUUUCAACCCUCAAGCCCUCCUUCGGGAUGGGCCUGGUGUUGGGGCUCGGCCGCCAUCUCCGGCGGCCGUCCCCUAAAUACAGUGGCGGUCACGUCGCGACUCCUUUGCGUAGUAGAAACACCUCGCUCCGGAUAGCAACGCGGUCCACGCCGUAAAACCCCCAAUUUUCAAUGGUUGACCUCGGAUCAGGUGGGAAUACCCGCUGAACUUAAGCAUAUCAAUAAGCGGAGGA
This 352-nucleotide unclassified non-coding RNA is filed under the name soil metagenome. RNAcentral's name for it is "partial contains 5.8S ribosomal RNA, internal transcribed spacer 2, and large subunit ribosomal RNA". The stretch from base 1 to 120 matches the Rfam family "5.8S ribosomal RNA", at positions 35 to 154 of the family's 154-position model. The record is from RNAcentral.